UGGGGAAUAUUGCACAAUGGGCGCAAGCCUGAUGCAGCCAUGCCGCGUGUGUGAAGAAGGCCUUCGGGUUGUAAAGCACUUUCAGCGAGGAGGAAGGUGGGUGAACUUAAUACGUUCAUCAAUUGACGUUACUCGCAGAAGAAGCACCGGCUAACUCCGUGCCAGCAGCCGCGGUAAUACGGAGGGUGCAAGCGUUAAUCGGAAUUACUGGGCGUAAAGCGCACGCAGGCGGUUUGUUAAGUCAGAUGUGAAAUCCCCGGGCUCAACCUGGGAACUGCAUUUGAAACUGGCAAGCUAGAGUCUCGUAGAGGGGGGUAGAAUUCCAGGUGUAGCGGUGAAAUGCGUAGAGAUCUGGAGGAAUACCGGUGGCGAAGGCCGGCCCCCCUGGACGAAGACUGACGCUCAGGU
This 408-nucleotide ribosomal RNA is filed under the name uncultured bacterium. Its description in RNAcentral is "partial 16S ribosomal RNA". It matches the Rfam family "Bacterial small subunit ribosomal RNA", at positions 355 to 752 of the family's 1533-position model. The record is from RNAcentral.